This 69-nucleotide transfer RNA is filed under the name Paulasterias sp. SS-2022. RNAcentral describes it as "tRNA-Arg". Lineage: Eukaryota; Metazoa; Echinodermata; Asteroidea; Forcipulatida; Paulasteriidae. The record is from RNAcentral.
AAAGAGCUAGUUUAACCAAAACAUUCGAUUUCGACUUGAACAAUUUUAGCAGCACACUAAAGCUUUUUU